RNAcentral lists this ribosomal RNA (222 nucleotides) under uncultured soil bacterium. RNAcentral describes it as "partial 16S ribosomal RNA". It matches the Rfam family "Bacterial small subunit ribosomal RNA", at positions 26 to 247 of the family's 1533-position model. The record is from RNAcentral.
AGAUUGAACGCUGGCGGCAGGCCUAACACAUGCAAGUCGAGCGGCAGCACGGGUACUUGUACCUGGUGGCGAGCGGCGGACGGGUGAGUAAUGCCUAGGAAUCUGCCUGAUAGGUGGGGGAUAACGUUCGGAAACGGACGCUAAUACCGCACACGUCCGUACGGGAGAAAGUGGGGGAUCUUCGGACCUCACGCUAUCAGAUGAGCCUAGGUCGAUUAGCUA